This is a non-coding RNA of Dermacentor albipictus, 177 nucleotides long. The record is from RefSeq and is a predicted model, not a curated record. Lineage: Eukaryota; Metazoa; Arthropoda; Arachnida; Ixodida; Ixodidae.
UGUUGAAGACGCAAGUAGCAUCAUGUUUGCUCUUCCACUCUUUCUCUGUAUGCUCGCCGUAGCAAGUGCGGAUUAUGUGAACGAAACUGACUACGCAGAAAACUCAACACACUACCCCGAGCAGAUACUUGCUAAUAUGCAAUGUGUGAACGAGACGAUUUACAUUCUGCAAAGAAA